UACGGAGGGUGCAAGCGUUAUCCGGAUUCACUGGGUUUAAAGGGUGCGUAGGCGGAUUGGUAAGUCCGUGGUGAAAUCUCUAAGCUUAACUUGGAAACUGCCAUGGAUAAUAUUAGUCUUGAAUAUUGUGGAGGUUAGCGGAAUAUGUCAUGUAGCGGUGAAAUGCAUAGAUAUGACAUAGAACACCAAUUGCGAAGGCAGCUGGCUACACAAAUAUUGACGCUGAUGCACGAAAGCGUGGGGAUCAAACAGG
RNAcentral lists this ribosomal RNA (253 nucleotides) under uncultured bacterium. Its description in RNAcentral is "partial 16S ribosomal RNA". It matches the Rfam family "Bacterial small subunit ribosomal RNA", at positions 524 to 776 of the family's 1533-position model. The record is from RNAcentral.